CCUACGGGAGGCAGCAGUGGGGAAUUUUGGACAAUGGGCGAAAGCCUGAUCCAGCAAUGCCGCGUGAGUGAAGAAGGCCUUCGGGUUGUAAAGCUCUUUUGUCAGGGAAGAAACGGUGAGAGCUAAUAUCUCUUGCUAAUGACGGUACCUGAAGAAUAAGCACCGGCUAACUACGUGCCAGCAGCCGCGGUAAUACGUAGGGCGCAAGCGUUAAUCGGAAUUACUGGGCGUAAAGCGUGCGCAGGCGGUUUUGUAAGUCUGAUGUGAAAUCCCCGGGCUCAACCUGGGAAUUGCAUUGGAGACUGCAAGGCUAGAAUCUGGCAGAGGGGGGUUAGAAUUCCACGUGUAGCAGUGAAAUGCGUAGAUAUGUGGAGGAACACCGAUGGCGAAGGCAGCCCCCUGGGUCAAGAUUGACGCUCAUGCACGAAGACGUGGGAGGACGAACAGGAGUAGUAUACCGUACGGUAGUACCGACCGACCCGUAACCGAACUAGUCUACUAGUUGUUCGGUUCGUUAUUAGUACUUGUUACGU
This 533-nucleotide ribosomal RNA is filed under the name uncultured bacterium. RNAcentral's name for it is "bacterial SSU rRNA". It matches the Rfam family "Bacterial small subunit ribosomal RNA", at positions 338 to 849 of the family's 1533-position model. The record is from RNAcentral.